GGGGAAAAAUCCCCGCAGGCCGCAGACCAGGGCCUCCUCCUCCCUCCCCUCAACGUAGCGUCGCCACUCAUCCCACCGCCACACCAACGCCGGAGGUCGGAGCCGCGUAUCACACCGCCACACCUCCACCGGUGGCCGGAAUCCGCCCAUCCCACCACCACAUCAACGCCGGAGGUCGGAGCUGCCCAUCCUUGACUCCCUCCGCUGGUUGACCUUCGCGGCUCCGCACAAGGCGCCUUCUCCAAAGUUCAACACAUCCGGCCUGAUCUGAAAAACUGAAUCUAGUUUCUGCUCUUUCUGCGUUUCAUUUGCGCCGGCCGGGCUGAGCGCCGCCGGUCCCAUCCGCACCGGCCGGGGCCGCGGGGCGGCGCUGCAGGAUCUCAUUCGCGCCGGAGGGGCAGAUCGAGAUGCGGAUGGUCCGGAGGCGAGAUGCGCUGUUGCAGGUCCAGAAGCUCCCCUUUCCCUCUCCUUCCUCUCAGUUUGUUAUUACCACUAAGAAGAAGCCGCUGUUGCAGGUCCACGAGUGGCAGGCCAUCACGUUCCUGUGACUUGCCUAUUACUGCAGUGGCACGAUUUGAGGCAACUUCCUCGGGGGAAUAUUUUAGUUCAGAAUCGUUGGUCUAGCAACAGCUAGGUGCCUAGGUAACAGCAGCUUGCACAGGUAUAGUGAAUGUGCCAUCUGUGAGAUCUAUGGUGAAAUAAUCUCAUAGUGAAUGCCAUAUCUUUGUGAUACAUUUAAGGGACCUGUGUAUAGUGAAUGCAUGUGUGAACUCCAUGUUCCUGCAACUCUGCAAGUAUCUAUGAUGAAAAACAAUUUAUGGUUUGAUUUGAUCCAUAUGCUGUUUGUGCUUUGCACCUCUACAUAAUUGAAGCAUCAUAUACAAAGGUUCGAGAUAGCAUUUCAUGUUUUCAAUGACUACUGUAUGUGCUGUAUACUCUUCUGUCCAAUGCGAUGCAUGCAUGACUUGAAUGGAAUUAAAUUUCAUAGCAGCCA
This is a long non-coding RNA of Panicum virgatum (switchgrass), 994 nucleotides long. RefSeq lists it as uncharacterized. The transcript has 3 exons. Lineage: Eukaryota; Viridiplantae; Streptophyta; Magnoliopsida; Poales; Poaceae. The record is from RefSeq and is a predicted model, not a curated record.